CCUACGGUAGGCCGCAGUAAGGAAUCUUCGUCAAUGGCCGUAAGGCUGACCCAGCCAAGUCGCGUGAAGGACGAAGGACCUCUGGUUUGUAAACUUCUUUUAUAGGGGCAUACAGAUGUCUCCGUGUGUAUAUUUUCAUGUCCCCUAUGAAUAAGGAUCCGCUCACUCCGCUCCAGGCGCCCCGGUAAGACGGUGGUUGCGAGCGUUAUCCUGUGUUAUUGGGUGUAACGGGUGCGUAGGGUGUUUUUGAAUUCCACGGUGAAAGUUUGGGGAUCAAACAUACAGUGGCCGUUGAAACUGGAAGACUGGAGUGUGUAUGAGGUAGGCGGAAUGCGUGGUGUAGCGGUGAAAUGCAUAGAGAUAUCGCAGAACUCCGAUGGCGAAGGCAGCUUACUAGGCCAUAACUGACGCUGAAGCACGAAAGCGUGGGGAUCAAACAGGAUUAGAUACCCUGGUAGUC
RNAcentral lists this ribosomal RNA (460 nucleotides) under uncultured bacterium. RNAcentral's name for it is "partial 16S ribosomal RNA". It matches the Rfam family "Bacterial small subunit ribosomal RNA", at positions 338 to 795 of the family's 1533-position model. The record is from RNAcentral.